GUUUAUUAACUCUUAACUGAUGAUAUUAAUGAAAGUAACAUAAUUUUCCAUAUUAAUUUAGUGAUUAAUUGUGACAUAAAAAUGCCAACUAUGCGAUAAUUGACAUUCAUUCAUUCAUGUCUUGUUGCAACAUGCAACUUCUAUUAACCUUCAGGUGAUGGAGUGUUACCCUGAAGUUCUCCUAUAAAAGUCUGAUAAAAUUUUGAAUUCAUUGUUAGAGAGAGAACUAGUUUUCCCUCAAAGAUUGCAAGCGGUCCAGGCCCUGCGGCAGCAAAGCAGCUCCAAAUUAUGACGAUCCCUCCACCAUGUUCUCUGAAAUUUGUAUUGAAAGGAGCAUCAUUACCAUGAACAAAUAUUUUUUAAGAAGAGUAGUCUCUGCUUCUAAUCAGACUAUGUGUGUCUUUUUAAAGCAUAUUGCCUAACUCCAGUUAGCCCGGAGAUAUAGCCCAGCACAUACUUCGUUUUUAUUUGUAAAACAGUAUAUUCAGUAUUGACAAGGGCAACUACAAUGGAUAUUAAGAAAAGUCUACACACCCCUGUUAAAAUGGCAGGUUUCUGUGAUGAAAAAAAGAAAGAAAAGAAACUAAUAUAAAUCAAAACCAUUUCUACCCUCAAUGUGAAAUUACAACGUGAAAAACAACAAGUGAAAAACAAACAAUUUAGGAAAAAAUAGGAACAUUUUUAAAAAGUUAAUCUGGUUGCAUAAGUGUGUACACCCUUUUAUAAUUGUGGAUGUCGCUUUAUUCAAAACGAACAAAUCAAAUUCAAUCUCAUGCACAAGAGUAAUUAUCAUACAGCUGUCAUCAAGUAAAUGAUUCUGAUUAACCCCAAAUAAAGACCAGCUGUUUCUGUAGGAUUUUCCUCACAUUUUCUCAUUUCAUUUGACUGCUGAAGCCACGGUCCACAAAGAGCUUGCAAAGCAUGCAUUGUAUCUCACUCACUGAAAGGUAAUGAUCAGUAAAGGGGUAUAAAAAUGUCCAAAACAUUAGAUGUAAAGGAGCACUGUAAGGCCAUCAUCAACAAAUAGAGAAAAUGGUCCACCACAGUGACAUCACCAAGAACAGGAUUUCCCUCCAAAAUGUAUAUAAGGACUAGACAAAAACUUACCAGGGAGGCUAUCAGGAGACAUAUAGUAACAUUAGGAAUAUCUGACAAGUACUGAUUACUCUGCAUAUGACAACAAUCUCUUGUAUUCUUCACAUGUCUGGGCUAUGGGGGCGGGUGGCUAGAUGGAAGUCCUUUUCACAAAAAAAUCCAAGCUCAAUUAAAUUACUACUAAACCAUGUGGCAAAAUGUAUUAUGGUCUGAUAAGAUCAAUUCCAAAAGGUAUAAUAAUUCCAUAAUUUCAAAAGAUUUGUGCAAAAAAAGUACAACACCAAAAUACCCACAGUGAAGCAUGGUGGUGGCAGCAUCAUGCUCUAGGGCUGCUUUUCUUUAGCCAGAAUGUCAUGAUCUUGCCAGCAGAUGGCACUGCGGCAUCGACGGGCACGGGUGGCGGCAGAGAGCACGCGUGCAGGAAAUUGAACUGUUUCCUAUGGACACGUACCUUUGUUUUGGUUUUUGUUCUCUUCCUGUUUAAGCAUUGGUUGAUGUUCGAGGGUGUGUCGUUAUUGAUCCCAGCUGUCUGUGUUCUAGCUUGAUUAUAUUUGGUAUUUAAAGCCCUCGUGUUGCUUUGUACUUCGCGCAGUAUUACUUGAAUAACUGAAUGAAUGUUUAGGUGAAUACAUUUAAGUACGCAAAGCAGUCGUGUCUUCGUGUCCUGCUCUCGUUCCAUGCCUCGACUUUAGUCUUAUGUUUAACCUCGAUUAUCUUGUCCAGUACAGACCGCAUUUUACGUGUUUUGAUUUCUGUUUAAGAAUAAAGACGUUAAUCUGCACUUUCUUCUGCUUCCAGUCCUGUUCCGUAACACAGAAUUUGGGCUUUUAUCAAGGUGGAGGGAUUCAUGAAUAGCUACAAAUACAAUCUGAUUUUAGUGAAAAUCUUCAAGUGUCUGCUAGUAUGCUGAAGAUGAAAAGGAAUUUCACCUUUCAGAAUGACAGUGACCUAAAGCAUACAUCCAAAACAACAAUGGAAUGGCUUAACCAAAAGACGAUCAAUAUUUCUGUAUGGCCUAGCCAGAGCCCAGACCCGAAUCCAACUAAAAGUCUGUGGGGUGACCUGAAGCAGCCGUGCACAGGAAAUGUCUUCACAAUUUGAUGGCUCUAGAAUGUUUUUGCAAGAAAGGGUGAGAAAAUAUUGCAAAUCAAGAUGUGCCAUGCUGAUAGAUUUUUACCCAAAAAGACUGAAUGAUGUAAUAAAAUCUAAAGGUGCUUCAACAAAGUAUUAGUUUAGGGGUGUACACACUUAUGUAUGCAACUUGGUUAUUGCAAGUUUUUUAUUUUUCAUAUUUUGUCUAAAAUGUUUCUGAUAGUUUUUUACUUAAUUUUUACAUUUUUACAUUUCACAUUGAGGGUGUAAGAAGUUCUGACAUGAUUUAUCUUGGUUUAAUUUUUUACAUCACAAAAACCUACCAUUUUAACAUACUUUUUUAUAUCCAUUGUAUUAUAUAGAUGAGUUAUCAAUUUCAGCAGAAUGACUUUAUCUAUUAUUAAGAUGUGGAUGAAGAUCAGACCACAUGUUGUGUAUUAAUGAUGUAAUUCAAGUAAUUCCACAGAGAUAAACAAUUUUCUGCAAUUGUAAGUGGAUAAGGGGAGUUAAGGAGGGGAUGGUAGAGCAGGAUCAGGGGCUAGGUCAGGUAAGCUAGAUAAGGUCUGGGAAGUGGGCAUAAAUAUGCUGGUAAACACACAUUAUAUGAGCAUACUUUUAUAAAACCUAUACAGAGAAAGUGUACUGCAUACAUUUUGGCACACAACAUCAUAGUAUAUUUUGGAUCUGACUGAGAAUCACAUCCAUGCUGCCAUAUAAAAUCUAUUGAACAUACUAGCUACAAAAAGCCAGACAACAUUUUGCAAAAGGUUUUUUUUAUUUUUUUUUAUUAGAUUUUAUUUCCAAACACAUUUGCAGUGCAUAUUCAAAUUAUCAUACAGUGAUAAAAACUGAUCUAUUUAGCCAGAACUGCAUAGCCUACUACAUUGCUGCUCUAUUUCCCAAUGAAAUAUCACAAACACUAUUAAAACAACGUGACAACAUGCAUAAGGUCAAGAGUCAGUCUGAAUAUUUUUAAUAAGCUCUACAUCUCCACAUUGUCAAUUGGAGCACAAACGUGGGUUUGUAGGUUGUGACUUCAGCACAAUGACAGGCCAUAAGAUAUACUGACAGAUGACAGUCAGGGCCUUUUAUUUUCAUUAUUGUUUAUAUUUGUUGUUUAUUUAUACUUAAAUUAUUAUUCAUUGAAUUAUCUCUUGAUAAGGGCCUCAGGCAAGCCUUUUGAAAAGUUUUUUUUUUCAGAAAGGGCACUGUAAACAUCAGUACUCAAACGAAGUGGCAGAUGCUCAACCCUUUGUAUAUGUGUAAUUGAACAACUGUGUAUUGGGUGUUGACAUAUGAACAUAUUAGGGACUAGUAGGCCUUUUUAACUGACCUAUGUUACAGAGUUAAAAUGCUUCUAAAACACAUUAAAAUAUAAUUUAAAAAAAUUAUCCCUCUGAAUGGUAAAGGUCUUUUAACACAGGAAAUGCUACUUACUCAUCUCCUAUUUACUUUCAAAUGGAGGCAGGUGACCAGGCAAAGUGACACGAGGAGAUAUGCAGGUAGGUUUGAUUAUGAGAAAUCAUCUUGCGUGUGCCCAUUUGACAACAUGGCCUCCCAUAUCUGCUAGAGAAAGUUCACAACAUUUGUUGUCACGCAAGAUUCACUAGUGGUGGAAAACAGUUCCAGCUUGGAACUGUCAGCAAACUUAGUUGAUACAAAAACAUUAAAAUGAGCAUUUGAGUAAUCUAUAGAAAAUACAACCCCAAUUCUAAAAAAGUUGUGGAAAAUGUAAAUAAAUGUAAAUAAAAACAGAAUGCAAUGAUUUUCAAAUCUCAUAAACCCAUAUGUUAUUCACAAUAGAACAUAGAAAACAUUUCAAAUGUUUAAACGGAGUAAAUGUACUAUUUUAAGAAAAAAAUAAGGUAAUUUUGAAUUUGAUGGCCGCAAAAGUACGUGUUACUAAAAAGAAACAACUGAAGGUUAAUUGGCAACAGGUCAGUAACAUGAUUGGGUACAAAAAGAGUAUUUUAGAGAGGCAGAAGUAAAGAUGGGCAGAGGUUCACCAAUCUGCAAAAACUGUUUCCAAAAACAAUUCCAGCCUUUUGUUGCCCCGUCCCAACUUUUUUGAGACGUGUUGUGGCCAUCAAAUUCAAAAUUACCUUAUUUUUUUCUUAAAAUGGUACAUUUACUCAGUUUAAACAUUUGAUAUGUUUUCUAUGUUCUAUUGUGAAUAACAACUGGGUUUAUGAGAUAUGAAAAUCAUUGCAUUCUGUUUAUAUUUACACUUAUUUACAUUAUUACAGUAACUACAUAUGAGCAAAUAAGGCAACGGUUCUUCACUUGUCCUUAAGAGUUCUUUUUUGCUAACUAUGGACAUGUUUUGUUGUCUUAUAUUUUGUUUUAUCUUGAAGUACAUGUCUGUACCUUUUUACUUUUAAAUUGUUAUCUGUUGUGACUUUUGAAAUUGUGACAUAUACUCAGUACUUAAUUUGGGCUGGACCAUGCCAGAACAGGACCCAGCACCUCUGCCUGUGUUCUGGAUCUCAUUUACAUGGAUUAGGCACAGCUGCAGCUUUUUAUUUAUUUAUUUUAAAUAAAAACAAAAUAAUGCACAAUCCUCCUUUAUGUGUCACCUCCCUUCCAAAAUCAUAAUUUCCAUGUAGACCAGCUGGUGGCUAGUAAUCACAGUGUACUCACAUCAGUCACAUGUGCUCAUGCAUCAUGACUAUGGUGAAAAAAGGCAACAGACUUUGCUGUCAUUUCUUAAAGAAGUAAGCAAAAGUAAUGGUGGCAGAAAAAGAUGUUAUAAAAGCAACGGAGGCAUCAUUUCUCUUUCUGAAACUUGUUGGUCCAUUGUUCACAAAAUUCAACCCUGUGCCUUAUGUGCUAUUUUUUUAAUUUUAUUUUUAUUUUUAAAGGACACUGUCACAGACUAGCAGAGCAAAUCAUGACAUUAGGAACACACUGUAAAUUACACGAUUGCAUUGCGGAGUAAAUUGGAUGAUUAGGCAAGUUUAGAAAAUGUUUUGUUUGUUGAGAUCAGUAUUCACGUGGGUAUAUUUGUUUUACAGUAUGUUAUUUAAAGGGCAUAUUGUACUUUUGUAAGACCCAGUGUUCUGAGAGAAAUGUGAAGCUUAAUACAUCAGAAAUUUUCAGGAGACUCCUCCAGUCCUUAAACCGUAUAACUGAAAUGUUAUAGUUGCAAUCCCCUUCUACAGUGUUCAUCAUAUCUACUCUAAAGGCACUAGGUCUAUGACAGCAUUCAGCACUACUCUAUUGCCUUUUCCUUGUCAACUUUCUGGAUUAAGCACCGAGCUUACCACAACAAACCAUUACAGAUUUCUGUUUGAAUGUAUUACGUAACCAUUAAUUAUAGUCCCCUCCAAAACUAUUGGAACAGCAAGGCCAAAUAAUCUGUUUGUGCUAUACACCAAAGACAUUUGGGUUUGGAAUAAAAAGACUCUCAUGAGAUGGGUGUUUAGGAUUUCAACUUUUAUUGUCUGCUAUUUCUUGACAUCUAGAUGUGUUAAAAACAUAAAACAUAGACUGUUAUGUAUCAGACCACCCAAAUUUUAGGUGAGCAAAAGCACUGGUACAAAUAAGUCGUCUGGGUUACACAUGUAACCCUGUUCCCUGAGAAGAGAACGAGACAUUGCGUUUAGCAUAACACAAUGGGAGCGCCUCGCGUGUGUGAGCAGCAUCUGAAGCUUGUGUAAAAUCAUGCCUAUUUAUAGGCCUGCCAUUGUCAGGUGACACGCGUCGCGUGAUAUAAAUGGCACCUGUGAACCACGCCAUCAGCCUCUAUUAUCUGAAGUGAAGACGCAAUUCACAGGCCUGCCCUAUUAUGACAAAGCUACGCAGCAUCUCAUUCCCUUCUCAGUGAACAGGGUUACAUGCGUAACCCAGACGUUCCCUUUCAAAGGGAACUUCGAUGUUGCGUUUAGCAUAACACUAUGGGAACGAGAAUCCCCACUCCGUCAUACCGGGGGUAUGGCAUGUUCAAAAAGACCCAAGCCCGAGGGUCACUGCAAGACAUUCAAGCCCGGGGUGGAAUGAAUAUCCAGGCUGUAAUACUGAAUGAAUGUGUGUGGCGUGGAUCACCCUGCAGCAGCACACACAUCCUGUAAGGAUACCUCUUUGGACAAAGCCUUCGCGGAGGCGACCGCCCUAGUGGAAUGAGCCCUUAUACCCAGAGGCAUAGCAAGACCGCGCGCCUCAUAAGCAAUAGAGAUUGCUUCCACUAUCCAAUUAGAGAUGCGCUGAUUUGACACAGCAUCACCUCUACUGUCACCAACCAAAGCAGACCAGCAGCUGCUCCGACUUACACCACUGGCCGGAGCAGUGGACGUAAGUACAGAGAGCCCUUACUGGACACAGCAGGUGCAUUCUCUCUUGUUCUGGUGUGGGGAAUGGAGGCAGGCAGAAAGCCUACAACACCACAGGGUGGGUAGUCAAUGUAGGCACUUUAGGAAUAUAAUCCGGCAUAGGAUACAGGAAGGCCUUGGCUAGUCCAGGGGCAAAGUCAAGGCAGGAAGGGGAAACCGAGAGAGCUUGUAGAUCUCCUACUCGCUUGAGAGAUGUCAGGGCCAGCAGAAGAGCUACUGUUAGAGUCAGAAGCUUCUCAGAGGCUGACUCUAAGGGCUCAAAUGGGGCCCCUGACAGACCUUCCAGGACCACAGAAUGUUCCAGGAAGGUAUGCGCGGCAGGCAGAUGGGCCUCACCCACACCACGCAUGAACCUCGAAGUUAGAGGAUGGUGCCCCACAGAGGGUCCAUAAACAGGGGCGUGGCUGGCCAAAAUGGCAGCCACGUAAACCCUGAUUGUUGAAGUAGCCCACCCCACUGAGAAACGUUCGUGUAAGAACUCCAGGACUGUAGCUAUUGUGCAGUUCACUGGGUCUAGCUGACGUUCCUCACACCACAAGACAAAAAGCCGCCACAUGAGCGCAUACAAUUUCCUUGUGGAUGGUGCUCUAGUGUUUAACAUGGUCUCUACAACCUCAGUUGUGAGACCAGAAUCUAUGAGCUGGUGCCCCUCAGGGGCCAGACCUACAGUUUCCAUAGUUGGACUGUAGCUAUUGCGCAGUUCACUGGGUCUACAGUGGAUAUCUGCAGAUGGGAAUCUCCCAAGGAGUGCCAUCUAGCAGGGAUAUUAUCUCUGAGAACCAUAUUCGAGCUGGCCAAGAAGGUGCUACUAGCACAUAUGAGACCACCGAUGUGUUGUCUGUAAACAUAUGGUGACCUUUCAAUUGAGGAAGAAGGAAUUUCAGUGCUAGAAAUAUUGCUCACAUUUCUAGGCAAAUUUAUUUACCGCUCUAGAUGAGGGCCGCUCCAGAGACCGUGAGGGAGGUGUCUGUCAUUACCGUCUUGCACUAAGGAGACACGCCUAGAUUGUGACCCAAGGCCAGAAACCAGGGGACACUUCAAAUUCUCAGAGCACGUAGGCAUCACCGUGUGACACUGAUUACUCUCAGAGGUUUCGUCCUUGGAAGAAACCCCCAACUUCUCAGCCACCACUGAAUGGUCUCCUGUGCAAUAGGCUCAUAAGCGCCAAUAGUCUCCCAAGAUCCAGCUUUAUCUUGCUCAGUUUUGAUAGGAUUGACCCUACGCAUGUUGGGGAUAGAAACAUCCUCAUCGUAGUAGAAUCCUUAUAACCCCUAGAAAAGUUGUCCACUGCACUGGGGAAAGCAUACUUUUCUGAGAUUCAACCUGAGCCCCAAGCCCAUCUUUUAUGAUGGUUUUCCAGGCUUUUACCACAGUCUCUUUAAGUUGUUUUUUUUCCAUAGGGUUUCUCCCAUCAGUCUCCACUUCAGCAGGUGAAAUGCAUGCGCAACUGAAGAUUCAAUUGGCCAGUCUAAAACAUUUGACUUUUUCUUACUGAUAAAGUCCUUUGUUGACUUGGCAGUGUGUUCUGGAUCAUUGCUGCGUGAUGAAUUUGGAUGCAUUUCUCUGUAAAUUGGCAGGCAAAAUGUUCUUGUAAACUUCUGAAUUCAUUCUGCUGCUACAGUACCAUCUUGAGUUACAUCAUCAAUAAAGAUUAGUGAGCCUGUUACAGAAGCAGCCAUGCAAGCACAAGUCAUAACACUACCUCCACCAUGUUUCACAGAUGAGCUUGUACAGUGCUGUGAAAAAGAACUUCUUCUGUUUUUGUAUAUAUCUCAUACUGAAUAGUUUUAGAUCUUCAAACAAAAUACAAACAUAAACAAAGGCAACCUUUUUAUUAUUUAUUUAUUUAUUAAAGCAAACAAACAAAAAAAAAUCACCCAUGUAAAAAACGAAUUGCCCCUUGUAAAUUAAAAUCUGGUUGCGCCACUGUUAGCAGCAAUAACUGCAACCAAACGCUUCCAAUAACCGGAGAUCAGUCUUUCACAGCACUCUGGUGGAAUUUGAGCCCGCUCUUCUUUGCAGAACUGCUUGAGUUCAGCCACACAGGAGGGUUUUGAAGCAUGAACCGCCUGGUUAAGGUCCUGCCACAGCAUCUCAAUUGGUUCAAGUCAGAACUUGACAAGGCCACACCAAAACUUGUAGUCAGUCAGAGGUGAAUUUACACCUAUGCUUUUAUUAAACCAAAAGUCCAGUCACUUUGAUUUACUACUAUUGGACAAUGUUCUUAACACCCAGUUUUUGAACCCGGACUUUUACUUGCAUUUGUAUGGAUUUCUUCAAUUGAAUCAGUGCAUCUGCACAAGCAAAGCUUUUCAGCUCUGCUCCCACUGAUGCCUAUGAGCUCCACAGUGUCCUCUAUCAGUAAUAACCACUGAUCCAUUGAUAUUUAUAAUGGCCUGACAUAAGGAGGAUACAGCCAAGGACACAAUCUACAGCUGCACUGUAACACAGCCCAGAGAAAACAGAGCAGAGCUGGAAUAAAGAGCAGACGGCCUGAGAUUAGUUUUUAUGACUAUGAACCCAAAAUUGAAAAUUUUUAAUCAUCCACAUAAUCCAACUCAUGUAAAUGUAAGAAUAGUUAUGGUUCAUAACUUGCACUUGUUUUUGGUCAGUUGAUAGAAACUUAGGCCCAUUUUCAGUGAUCCUAUUAUUUGAUAGCAUUUGACUAGAAGAAAUGGGUGUAAACACACAAAGUGCAUAUCUCUGGAGUCUGGCUGGUUCACACUGUGAAAUGAUUUCAAGCAGGUGUAAAACAACCAAUACAGUGUGCUGAUAUCAGGCUGGAGCUAGGAAGAAACGCCCCACUCACAAGAUACAGCAAGAUCAAAUUAUUUUUAAAAAUCAAUAAUAAAAUAAAAAUGUAGAAAAUGGAUGACACUUGAAACAAAAAAUCUUUAAUGAUCCAACAUUUUCUAUGCUGACAGCUGGCUGACAUCCUACACUCGAGCUAGUUCAUUUUUCUGGCAUAUUGUGGUGGGGAAAUGAGAUCUGAUCACAAUACCGACAGAGUGCAGAUAAUGAGAACGCAUAUAAAUACCAGGUGUAAAUGACUCAUUAUUCAAAUAGUAAUAUAAAGGUACAGCUUGCAUAUCAUUCAUUAUUCUAAUAUUUUGAGAUACUGGAUUUUGAUUUCCAUGAGCUAUAAGCAUCGAGAUUAAAACAAACAAACAAAAAAAGGCUUGAAGUAUUUCACCUUAUGUGUAAUAAAUCUAGAAUAUAUGAAAGUUCCACUUUUUGAAUUAAAUUACGGAAAAAAAGAACUUUUCCACGAUAUUCUAAUUUUUUGAGAUGCACCUUUAUAUGUCAAUAAGGGACUUAUUCUUGCAGUACUUGUAUCACUGCCUGCUCCGUUAUAAGUUCAAUGUAUUCUUCUUUCAGUUUUACCAAUUUUAAUUCAUACUUAGGUUUAGCAGACUGAACACAGCCAGGUUUGUUUGCAUUCAGCCCUGACUAAUCUAAACAACACGCAACAUAACUUCACUGUCAAAGCGAUGUAGUCAUCACAAAGUCACGCCAAGCAUACUAUUCCACAAUUAAAGCACAUUCUAGCAAAGAUGAAAAGAUAUGUUGUAAUUAACUGAAGAAAAAAAAGUUUUAAAGAAGCAAUGGCUAAUGUUCUGCAACUCCACCAAACCGCAGUGAGAGUCAUUAUGGAGAACACUUUGAACAGUGUUGAAUCUUCCAGGAGAGGCCAGUGUGCCAAAAUAUCUCCAAGGGCACAACAACUAUUCAUCCAGGAAGUUAAGAAGAAAAAAGAAAAAGAAAAAUCCCAGAGGAACAUAUAACUGCAAGUGUCUCAAGCUUCAACUAAGGUAGGUCUUUACAAGUCCCCGAAAAAAAAAGACUGGAUAAAUAGGGUUUAUCACGGAGAGUAUCACGGUGAAAACCAGGUUUGUCCCACAUUUUGACUUAAGCACCAUGAGUCAAAAGUCAACUUUCUGAAACACAAGAUUCCCAGUCUAAGGAACAAGCAGGGGACACUCUGGACGGGGUGCCAACCCAUCGCGAGGCACAAUCACACACACAUUCACACACUACGGACAAUCUGGAAAUGCCAGUCAGCCUACGAUGUAUGUCUUUGGACUGGGGGAGGAGACUGGAGUUCCACAACAUUAUAUGUAGCUAUAAACAGUUUAAAAGCAUGUUAUUUUAUUCAUAUAUACAUUAAGAAUUGUGAUCAUUGGCUGUGGUAUAAGAGAUGGUAGCUGUCCUAUAACUCCACUUUGCCUUGGGCUGAUGGAUUAUUUUCCCAUUGUCUUUUAUUCCUUACUUAAAGCAGUUAUUUCAUAACAUAUGAUGUGAUGUGAUACAACUAGAUGCAGUAAUGUACCAAGAGCUCUAUUUUAAUCAAAAACAUAGUUUUUGAUUAAUGAGAUGGAGCCACAGAGACCAUGGCUUUUUUUUCUAUUUACAAGGACUACAAGGCCCAGAGAAAAAUGGAAAGGAGAAAAACCUGUCCAAAUUUUACACAAUACACAGUCAAAAAGACAAACUUUACGCCCCUUAUAUACAUCAUUUUAUUCACGGCGUCAGUCAGCAGUGAGAUUACUUCAGCAGAUACAAAGUUAUUCUGAUCAUCUUUAUCCUGUGCUGAAACAUUCCUGUCCUGAUGGGAGUGGUAUCUUCCAGAAUGACUCAGCCGAAUCACCAGGGCACGAAGACUCUCUGAAUGGUUUGAUGAGAAUGAAAAUGGUGUACUCAUGUGCUGUUAGCGAUAUCAGUAAUCCGCGAUGGUCUUUGCUGUUCUGGCAGCUUGUGAUGUCCUUACUAAGACACUUUAUGUUGUUGUGUUUUUCUCCUUAAGAUUAUGUUUGUCACCUGUCUGAACAUCAGAAUUAUGUUAGAUGUCAUGCUUUCUAUCUGGUGUGUGAAAGUGGAGUUUGUGGUGGGGGAGUGUUCAUAAGGACACAGCCAGCUCAGUGAGAACAGAUGGCAAACAGGAGGCAUGCUCGAAUCCUGCCCAGCGUUUUGCUUUGGUAAACACAUGGAUGUAAACCACACACUUACAUACACGCGCACAUACACACACACACACACACACACACACACACACACACACAGCAAUCUGCCAUUGCUUGGACUGAUAGGUACAAAAGCAUGGAAAGAAAGAGAAAGAUAGAGGGAGAUAGAGAGCAAGAGAGAGAAAGAGAAAGAAAGAGAGAGAGAGAGAGAGAGAGAGAGAGAGAGAGAGAGAGAGAGAGAGAGAGAGAGAGAGCCAAACCUUGAUAACUCACAUGCUCUCUGCAGCUUGUGGAGGCGUUCAGCCCACAAAUGUCUUCAGUGAAAGUUGGGAAAGAUACCAAAUUAACACAGAGUUUGGUGGAUCUCUCCAUCCUGUGCGAUCCAAUCUUUACCUGGAGUCCUGCAGGGGGCGCUAGAGAGCACCUCAGACUAAACAGAACUCUUCCCAUCAGGAUCAGUAGUGGUUUCAAUCCACCUGUUAUACAAAUGUUUUAUUUAUACAUUUUACAGAUACAGAUGUUUUUCAGCAUCUAUUCAUGCAGUACAUUAUGUUUAUAAGAUAGUUUUAUUUUAUUCUGCGCAUUUAUCAGAUUUUGUGCUGCAGAUUAUGUUGCAUUUAUUUGCAGUGACUGUUCGUGACUAUUUGAGCCUAUGUACAUUUUCACGACAGGUGGCUCAGUAGUGAAGGCUCAGGGCUACUGAUCAGAUGGAGCCAGGCUGGUAACCUGCCUCUGACACCAGCUCACAAACAAGCUGUGAUAUGCAAAGAAAAUAGGUUCACUGACUUCUGUCUAUAACUUUGCUAUCUUCUGUCUACUUUUCCUCAAUGUGAGAGCCCGAAUACAGAUGUGAUAGAACAGACUAAAUAAGUGUGUUUUUCUAGUCUCUCUCUGUGUUAGACUGGUGCUUUGAUAAUGUCAGCUCAUUGCUUCCUUUCAGAAUACUCAACAGAACAGCCAUUCGUAUUUUUUAUUUUUUUUGGCUUUUGAUUUUUCAGAAAGCUGCUUAAAUUCUACAAAACAUUUUGACAGAAUCAUGUCUAGAGUGCUCCACACAUUUGGUUCUUACUGCAGCUGUGCUGUAGACACGCAGUCUGCCUUUCGUCUGUCAGCUGUAUUGUAAUUGCAUUACGUAAAUUAGAUGCUCUCUCUCUCUCUCUCUCUCUCUUCUGUCAGACGAAAGCAGAGCUAAGACAUUCCAAAGUGGAAAUGCCAUCUCCAGCUUAUCAGCACAGAUACAUUUGUCAAGUUUGUUAUAUUUAAUGAGAAGCGCUCUCUUCUACUGCCUCAUUUAUGGGUCUAUUGAUAUGCCAGUAUAAUGGCAUGCAUUGAUUAGAAAACUAGAAGUGAUUAAAUUUCUGAAAUCGUGCUAUACCCUAUUGGAUUCCAGGGAUAAGCAGUUCAGGAUGCUGUUGUUAAAACCAUUGCUAUCUUCACUCAUACUACCCCCCACCAACACACACACACAUCCAUUAAAGAUCUGUUCUAGGGAUGUAACCGAAUAUGAAUACAUUAUUUGGAUUGAACAGAUAAUUGUUCUAAACAGACACAAAUACAGAUAAGAAUAGGUUCACUGUGGAGGAGCUCAUUACCCAAGCUCGAGCAGUGGACUUUUCCUGGAAUUGAACUUCCUUACGCAAUGCAUGCCUAAAUGUCUGCAUAGCCAUGCACUGGAUGUAAAGGCACAUCUGCUGUCUGUUUCUUUCUCCAAUGGAAGGGAAGUUUAACUAUGUUUAUACUGUCUGGUGCCAUCAUUCUGAGAGGUCUCUGGGCUGGUUGACCCUCUGUGCUGCAAUGUGCCCAUGCUUGCUUUUUGUGCUUGCUUGUUUUCUUGUGCAAAUUUGAGUUUAUGCUCAAAUGGCUUGCUAGACACUUUAAUGCUGUAAAUGUAGAUGAUCAAUCCUGAAUCCCACUGCCUGCUGUGCUAUUGACAUCAACCAAGGACACGAUUCUUUUAAAGUCAUAAAGUAAGAAAAGCAUUCAAGGCAAAAACACAGAACUAGGCAAUACAGCAUACUGGACCAUUCACAUACCCGGUGGAUAAAUAAUGAAUUUCUGAUUUGUCCAACCACAAAAAUGUCUCCAGAUGCUUUUCAUACCUUGAAAUACGGCACAAAAAUGAGAGAAAACUGUAUUUCUACACUGUUCAGAUAAACUGCUGAAGGGUAAAUGUAAUCUUUUUACAUUUCCACUAUAAACGAUACUUAAGCAGUUUCCAUAAGCAAAUAAUCAAACUCUGGUGCAGUUGUUGGAGUGUUAUAUAGCUUUUAAUGUCUUUCGCUUUGAAAACAGCAAGUUGUAAGCAAAUGCUGUGAGCUACUGAAACUCCUAAUAAUAAAUUGUACAUUUACCCUACUUUAAAUUUAUCAUAUCAUUAAAAAACCUAACUUCAGUAAAUAACACAAACUCUUACAGCCUACAGCCAUAAAGGUGUUAAUUACAUUUCUAAACGACACUUUCCCAUGGUGUAGAGCAGAAAAUGCAUUAUUCAGCUAAUAAAAUACAUCUUAUUGUGUCAGUGUUAAUCCUGAGGUUCGGCCCCUUCUACUAAAAUGUUACUAAUUCAGUAAAAUUGUAUGCAGUCCCUGUUGAAUCUCGGAACUGUAUUUGUUGCCUUGUACUCACCGUAGGUCAAGAAGGCCCGGCUGCCUCACGGCUUAUUUAAUGUAGAAGCACAUGAAGCACAAUGGCGGGAGCAUUAAUAUGGAGUGUGCACUUGGUGCAUGGCAAUAACCUUUUGCACCAAGUGAAAAAAAAAAUCAAUUAGUGUGUGCAUUCUAUAAUGGCGUGGGAGAAAAAUCUGGAGGCAUCUGCCACAGCAAGUUCGGUCUGAAAAUAUGACCACGUCUGGAGCAAAGCCAGGGCAACAGAGAACAUAAUGUUACAAAAUGCAUGCAUGCACACACACACACACACACACACACACACACAAAUACAGAGAGAGAGAGAGAGAGAGCGAGCAAGAGAGAGAGAAGAGCACUUAACAUUCUUCACUGAGUCAUCUCACUAAUAUUCUGAUGACAAAGAACAGAUGUCAGUGAUACUGUACUGCACAUUUAUUAUUAAUAUUAGUUGGCUGUUAUGUUAGUGUUUAUAUGUCAUAUGUUUAUAGAUGAUAUAUUUAUGUAUGUUUCUUCUGUCACACUGUUGUUGAAAGAAAGAGAGGAGGAAAGGAAGAUAAAAACGAGAGCGCAAGAGGGACAAUAUAAUCAUUCAUUCAUUCAUCUUCAGAAGCUGCUUUAACCUGGUUCUGGAGAAGUAUCCCAUGAAUAAUACAUACAAAACAGGAAUACAACCUGAAUCUCACA
Ictalurus punctatus (channel catfish) is the source of this 14784-nucleotide long non-coding RNA. Lineage: Eukaryota; Metazoa; Chordata; Actinopteri; Siluriformes; Ictaluridae. The record is from Ensembl.